GGGAACGGAAGAGGCUGGCUUUUUCUCUCUUUUUUUUGUUGGCUUUUUCUGGUGGAGCUGCAGCUGGAGAGAGAAAGAGAAAGAGAACGGCUGAGCCAGAGGGACUCUUUGUGUUGGAGUGGUGCUGAGACAGAAAGCACAGGGAAAGAGGGAGCAGGGAAGGAAAGGAAAGGAAAGGCUGGAAUGGUGUGAGAGUCCGCUCCGAGGCGUUUUCGUCGCUGUUGCUAAGGGCCGCACCUCCGGGACCGAACCAUGGAUGAUGACUUCGAGCGGCGCAGGGAGAUGAGGAGGCAGAAGCGAGAGGAGAUGCGCCUGGAGGCUGAGAGGAUGGCCUAUCGGCGGAACGAGGAGGACGAGGAGGAGGCGGCUCGUGAGCGCAGGCGAAGAGCUCGGCAGGAGCGCCUGCGCAGCAAAGACAGCGAGGAGGCGCCGAACCCUCCAGAGAGUGUGGAGCUAAACAACAGCCACAGUGUGACUGUUACAGAGACGGUGUCCAGCUCAGUGGUCAGCUCUAGCCAGGCAGGUGAAGAUGACGAUGAGGAGCAGGCCCUGCUAGAUCGCCUCGCCAAGCGCGAGGAGCGCCGGCAGAAGAGGAUGAAGGAGGCGCUGGACAGACAGAAGGACACGGAUUCCCCCGACUCCACUCACUACAGCACGGAGGAGUGCUCCAGCAGCCGCCGCUAUCACUACCACGAGCAGGAGGAGCAGCCUGCACUCAACAGCAAGGAGCAGGAGAAUGAGGAGGCCAAGGAGGAGGAGGAAGAGGAGGCUGCAGCAGAAGAGGAGGAGGAGGAAGAGCAGAAAGUGGAGGAAGUGAUGGAGGAGAAGCCGCGGAGGUCUUACCUGAGGGCACAGGAAUCCGCUGAGGAGAAACCUCAAAUAGAAGAUGAGGGCAGCACUGAGCAGGAGGCUGCAAGUGAAAAGUGUGAGAAUGUAAAUGAAGACACAGCUGAUUCCACAGUCUGCUCAAAGCCAGACGUGGACGAGGACACAGCAGGAGUGAAUGAGGAUGUAGAGGAAGGAGAGGAGGAUGAGUUAGAGGAGCUCGAGGAGAAUGCAGAUGAUGAAAAUCAGGAGACAGCUGUGUCUCAGGAAGCAGAGAGAGAGUUUACAAGCAAUGAUUUAGGUUUGAUGGAGGACGAAAACGUGGGGAGGAAGAGCAAGCAGCAGAAUGGAGGAGUGUAUGAGGACAGCAAGCACAAGAAGGUGGAGAGAACCACGAGCCGUGGCAGCCUACGCUCUCCCGAGGUCCCGACAGCGGAGGAUCAGGACGGGGAGGGAGCUCGUCUGGAGGCAGAGCGGAAGCUGGAGGAGCUGAAGCGGAGGAGAGACGAGACGGAGAUCGAGGAGUUUGAGAGGAUGAGGCAGAAGCAGCAGGAGGCAGAGGCCGAGCUGGAGGAGCUGAAGAGGAAGAGAGAGGAGAGGAGGAAGGUGCUGGAAGAAGAGGAGAAGAAUAAGAAGCAAGAGGAGGCUGAGAGGAAGGCUAAAGAGGAGGAUGAGAAGAGAAGGAUGAAGGAGGAGAUCGAGAGGAGAAGAGCAGAAGCAGCAGAGCGGAGGCAGAAGGUUGGGGAGGAAGUGGACGGAGACACCAGGAAACCCUUUGUUUGUGUGAGCCCCAGGGGAUCCUCCUUGAAGAUUGGUGAAAGAGCAGAAUUCCUCAACAAGUCAGCACAGAAAAGUGGUGUGAAGACGUCUCACUCUCCUGUGGUGUCAAAGAUUGACAACAGAUUGGAGCAGUACACCAGUGCUGUGCAGACUAAUAAGGACGCACGCUCGCCACGGUCCGGCGCUAUUGACCUGCCCAUGGUCACUGAUGGCAUUCGGAACAUCAAGAGCAUGUGGGAGAAGGGAAAUGUCUUCGGCUCUGGCCCCGGGACACCGUCCAGCAACAAGGAUGCAGCUGGGAUAAAGGUGGGCGUGGCAGGCCGGAUCAACGAUUGGCUGAAUAAAACCCCAGAGACGGGCAAAAUGUCGGGAGGGAGACCUGCAGACCUGAAACCCGGCGAUGUGACCAGCAAGCGCAGUCUAUGGGAAAACAAAGGCUCCUCUGCUACCAAGCCCUCUCCAUGCUAGUUGUCUGCAGAAUUGGGCUCCAUGAGGAGGUGACAAGCAGAGGAGAGAGCAAAUCUUUUGCCAAUGGAAUGGGCCACUAACUUUUCAAGAAGCCACAGCACCAGGGACCAAGAGACAGCAGCAUCUUCCUUUUUUAUAUGUAUUUACUCAAACCAAAAAUAAUAGUCUGCGUUUCCCACUGCCCAUACAUCUCAGAGACAAGAGAGAAAAUAGAACAGGGUUGUAUUUUUACCACUGCAUGUCGCAUAGUCCUAAUUACAGCGUAGCGCUUAGCAUAAAGCCUCAUUUACAGUAGAAACUAGUCUGAAAUGUGGACCAAAUGACCAAAAGGUUUUUUUUUUCUUUUCAUUUUUAGAUAAGAAUAGAUGCAACCUAUUUAAAGGUCUCAUGUAAUUUCAUGUCAUGUUAUAAACAUUUGUUGCUGUUUCUUUGUUUGUUUUUUUACUUUAAAGCUCUUCUCUGCUAGUCACCCUUCUUCACACCCUUUUUAAUUUAUAAUUAAAGCAAAAGCUUCACAUAUUGGUAUUUUAUUAAUGUUCACCAGUACAGGGCAGAAUAUGAGCACCCAUAGAGUAGUGUAUUUUCUACUUUUGUCAUAAUGACACUUUUUUUUUAUAGUAAAACUAUGGUCUUAAUAAUAUAUGUUAGCACAUAGUGUAUGUUUUGUAAUUAACUAUAUAUUUUAUAUGUUGCCGCUUUAUACGAGAUGAUGUCCUUGCUUUUGCUCUCGAUAUCAUAUGUUGGAUCAAGUUUAAAAUCAUUAUAGACAUUCCAUAAUUAUUAUUCCACAUUUUUUUUUCUUUCACUGGUAUUACAAGCGCUUUGUCGUCAGUAUAUUCACUAUGAUAUAUCUGAUUCUUAACGGACGUAAUGGCUUCGCUCUGCACUGAAUAAAGGGAACAUACACUUUUUGACAAAAAUGAAAAACUGACAAAAAAAUAAUAGUUAAAAUAAAAAUAAAGUUCACAUUUCUUUGCAAUAUAUAACGCUUAAUAUCCUACCAAUAAGGCUGCGGUUUUCUUUAUCAUUAUCAACAACAACAACAAAAUAAACAGUAAUGUUCUCUAUGUUAAAGGAAAGGGGCAUGAAUGGCUUACUGCCAUUACUGAGGACCAAUUUAUGUUGUUUGUGUUAUUUGCUUGUUUGUUACUUUUUUGUUUAUUCUGCACCAAUUCCCUGACCAGAACACCAUCACUAUCCACUAUCAGUAACCUUGGCAAAUACAGUCUAAUACAGAGUUUGACUAUUAAGAUUGGUCUUAAUUAUUUACUGCCCAGAUCAGUGAGUGUGUUACAGGCACUCAAAAAUCUGUUCAUCGGAUUGGAUCGGAUUACUGCAGUUAUCUUUAUAUACAAUGUAAGAAAUCUGAUAAAGUGAGAUGAAUUUUAGCUCAGCAAUCUGAUUUAUUUUAGUGCAUGUAAACUCUUAAUCAGAGUAUUCUGGGAUUUCUCAAUCUGCGCAUGCAAGAAAACAGACUGUGGCAGCAAAAAUAAAGGAAGCAGUGUUUAACAGCACCAGCGGGAUUGUGACUAACACUGUCAGAACGACGCUGAGGCUGAAGGAUUUAAAUAAUCUUCAUCUUCUAGCUGAUGUAUGUUCACAUUGUAAAAAAAAAAACAGAAUGAUGUUUGAGUUUCACACAAUGUUUAUGUCAAGUCUGAUUCUGAUUUUAUUGGCUGUUUUCAAAGCAAAAAUCGGAUUAUUGCCUGACUCAUGUAAACUCAGAUUUUUUUCAUUACCUGAUUACCCAAGUUCAUGAAACAAAUGUCAGGGUUCUGCAGUAAUCAGAUUAUGAAGUGCAUAUAAAAACACACUCACUGAUAUGAAGAUUCAUGUUUUGAAAUGUGAACAGAUCUGUGUUCUGGUCUUAUUGUUGACAAUCAUAACCCCAUGUUGAGUCUUGACUUAUAAACAGUUCUGCUUUGGAUCAGGGUAACUCUGUGCAAAUCACAGCCACUAUAAUUGCAAUUAUCUUGUCAAAAUUUUGUUUAAUGACCUUGUUUAUUGUAGCUGAUAGUGUUGUACGGAACAUUGACUCAGAAACUGCAAUAAAGAGAUCAAUGAAAAAAAA
RNA transcript from Astyanax mexicanus (Mexican tetra), 4144 nucleotides. It is a transcript of the gene named caldesmon 1a, with no coding region annotated. The transcript has 17 exons. Lineage: Eukaryota; Metazoa; Chordata; Actinopteri; Characiformes; Acestrorhamphidae. The record is from RefSeq and is a predicted model, not a curated record.